This is an RNA transcript of Centrocercus urophasianus (Greater sage-grouse), 3546 nucleotides long. It is a transcript of the gene named DDHD domain containing 1, with no coding region annotated. NCBI's taxonomy places the organism in Eukaryota, Metazoa, Chordata, Aves, Galliformes, Phasianidae. The transcript is spliced from 14 exons. The record is from RefSeq and is a predicted model, not a curated record.
AUGGAUUACCCUGAGCCCGGCUCGCCGCAGGGCGCCUGGGAGCUGCCCGGGGAAGGCGGCGGCGGCGGCGGCGGCGGUUACGGCGGCCGCUACGAGCGGGCGGCCGGCGGCGAGGAGGAGGAGGAGGAGGAAGCGGCGGAGCAUCCCCUGGCCCGCCCGCCCCGCCGCCCCCGGCAGCGCUCCGUGCAGCCGCUCCGCGCCGCGCUCUCCACCUCCUCCUCUGAGGAGGGGGAACCGGAGGCGGCCACCCCGAGCGACUCGACCGGCGGCGGCGAGUUCGAUUCGGCCGAGUCCGGCGCUUCGCUGCGUUACUCCUCCGGCACCGGGGAAAGCGGCGAGGGCGCGGGGCUGGCGAGCGGAGAGAGCGGCGGCGGCUCCGCGCUGCCCGAGAGGAAACGGCAGCGCUCGGCGGCGGGCGGCGGGCGGCCCCGCUAUGAGGUGGUGCGGGAGCUGGGGGCCGAGGAGGUGCGCUGGUUCUACCGGGAGGACCGGAAGAGCUGGAAGCCCUUCAUCGGUUACGACUCGCUGCGGAUCGAACUGGCCUUCCGAGCUCUCGGCCCCAGCCCCGAGCGGACGGCGGUGGAGCCGGUGUGCGUGCGGAGCGGGCUCUACGAGGUGGACGUGGCCAACGCCGAGUGCUACCCCGUCUACUGGAACCAAACGGAGAAGAUUCCUGUAAUGCGAGGGCAGUGGUUUAUUGAUGGUACUUGGCAACCUCUGGAGGAGGAGGAAAGUAACCUGAUAGAGCAGGAGCACCUCAACCGCUUCCGGGGCCAGCAGAUGCAAGAGAGCUUUGAUAUGGAAGUAUCAAAACCUGUUGAUGGGAAGGAAGUUCUCUACUACCUCCCUCCCUUCUCCCUCCCUUCUUUGUUCAAAUGGAGAGGAUAUAAGGAGAAUUCAGAUGCUGCAUGUCUUAAACGAAAGCGUUCCCAAGCUAUUCAUAGUCUAAAGUUGAGUCGCAACCAUGUGGACUGGCACAGUGUGGAUGAAGUGUAUCUGUACAGUGAUGCAACAACAUCUAAAAUUGCAAGAACUGUUACACAAAAGUUGGGGUUUUCCAAAGCUUCAAGUAGUGGGACAAGGCUACAUAGAGGCUAUGUAGAAGAAGCUACCUUAGAAGACAAGCCACCACAAACUAGUCACAUUGUGUUUGUUGUGCAUGGUAUUGGGCAGAAAAUGGACCAAGGAAGGAUCAUCAAAAAUACAGCUAUGAUGCGAGAUACUGCAAGAAAAAUAGAAGAAAAGUAUUUUUCCAACCUUGCAACACAUGUUGAAUUUCUUCCAGUUGAAUGGAGGUCAAAACUCACCCUCGAUGGAGACACUGUGGACUCCAUUACUCCAGACAAAGUGCGGGGUCUGAGGGACAUGCUGAACAGCAGUGCCAUGGAUAUCAUGUACUACACAAGUCCUCUUUAUAGAGAUGAACUUGUCAAGGGGCUGCAGCAGGAGCUGAACCGCCUGUACACACUGUUCUGCUCUCGGAACCCAGAGUUUGAGGAGAAAGGAGGGAAAGUCUCCAUUGUGUCCCACUCUCUGGGCUGUGUCAUCACCUACGACAUCAUGACUGGCUGGAACCCGGUCAGCCUGUAUGAACAGUUGCUGCGGAAAGAGGAGGAGGAGCUUGAAGACACUUGGAUGAGUUAUGAGGAGCGGCGUUUGCUUGAAGAACUUUACAUAACCAAACAACGGUUGAAAGAGAUAGAAGAGAGGUUACAAGGCUUAAAGGCAUCCACCAUAGCGAAAACACCUGUCUUAAAAUUUAAGGUUGAGAAUUUCUUCUGUAUGGGAUCUCCACUAGCAGUGUUUUUGGCAUUGCGUGGCAUCCGUCCAGGAAACAGUGGGAGUCAAGAUCAUAUUCUGCCCAGAACAAUUUGUAACCGCUUACUGAAUAUCUUUCAUCCAACAGAUCCAGUGGCCUAUAGAUUAGAACCUUUAAUCCUGAAGCACUACAGCAACAUUUCACCAGUCCAGAUCCACUGGUACAACACCGCAAACCCUCUACCUUACGAGCAUAUGAAGCCAAGUUUUCUCAACCCAACAAAAGAACCUACCUCAGUUACGGAUGGUGAAAGUGCUUCAACUGUACCAAGCCCAACUACUUCACCAGUCAUGGUUCGGCGCCACUACGGGGAGUCCAUAACCAACAUAGGCAAAGCCAGUAUACUGGGAGCUGCGAGCAUUGGGAAGGGCCUCGGAGGGAUGCUGUUUUCGAGAUUCGGUCGCUCAAGUACGCAGACUGCAGAGCCAGGAAAAGAUGGAGCGGAAGGGGACGACAAGAAGAGCGCUGUGGGAACGCCACCUUUCUCACAGAGCAGCUCGGGCUUCCUCGAACCCACGUUGGAACUGGAGCACAGGAUUGAUUUCGAGCUCAGGGAAGGUCUGGUGGAGAGCAGAUACUGGUCUGCAGUCACGUCGCACACUGCCUAUUGGUCAUCUCUGGAUAUUGCUCUUUUCCUCCUCACCUUCAUGUACAAACACGACCAGGACGAUACUGACAAAUCCAGUUUGGACGCUAUCUGAAUUUUUGACUGGGGGUUGGGAGGGAUGGGAAAGGAAAUCUGAAAACCAAUGGCACAAAACAGAUGUUAAACCGCAGUAUGUAUGGCAUGGAGGUUUCAGGUUUAAGUGCAUGUUUGGGUUUUUUCCUGUUUCUAAGGAGCAAAAACGAUUUGUAUGGAAAAGCACUUUAUAGUUUCAAACGUUUUGCAGUGCUUAAUCAGACCUGAGGUUGUUCCAAAUUCCUGUUGACUUUGCAUAAAAAGACAACGCAACGUGCAGCACCACUUAGGCACCAUCGUGCAUUGUGCUCGGGUGACAUUCUUGUUGAUGACCAUAAUUGCUGUUCAGUUCAUUAAAGUAUAAAAAGAGGAGUUGAUUUAAAAAAAAAAAGCGAAAUUAAUUUCCAUUAACGAAGUAUGUGUUACUUACAAACCUAAAACUGCCAUGUUCCAAUGUCGUGUGUGUCAGUCAGUAACGAACGGUGGUGUCGUUUCUCUAGGAUCUGUUCAGCUCCACAUCCUGUUACCCACAGUACCAUUCUGAGGGCUGGCUGCUGGGCCGUGUUCUGCGUGGCACGUGGAGAAACCAACGCUGAAAAGCACCACGAGGAUCUGAAAUACUACGUGCAAGGAGCCGUCAAGAGGAAGGAGAGCAGCAGUAUAUAAACUUGGUGAGACCUGAGGAUACCAGAACUUAGAUUGGAUUCGCAUCUGAAACUAAUUCAGGAGCCUCCAAGAGGGAUGUGUUGUGAUGAAAGGAAAUGUCUCCCAAUGAAACACUACAAGGUCACUGCUGGGAUCUGAAGCCAUGCACAGCUCUAGAGCAAAGUGCCAGAUCCACAGCCUCUGCACUGCCUCUGGCUGGGGUAUCUGUGGUCUGUAUGGCAUGUUUAGAAGCUGCAGAAUCUCAGCUUUCCUUUGCAAAGGAUGAGGCCGUGGUGUCAGCAGAUAGCCGCGUUCUCAAUGUAAACAGAUGUGGAACCAGCAGCCCCAACCAGCAUCCUUCAAUCCUGGAGUUUGGGAGGGGGAGGGCAGCAGCGCUGCUGCU